CUAGCCAUCCUGAUCCUAUCUGAUCCUGGACUUUAUCUGUUCCUGCUGUUUCUGUGGUUUGAACCUUUGUGCCUGUUUAUCACCUGCCUAUCUGCCUUGCUACUUUGAACUGGGUACCUGUUUUGGACUAGCUCUCAUUGCUACCUAACAAAGCCAUUCACAACAUCCACUGUGAAGAGAUGAGAGGUCAUCAACCAGGAGUCAGUGGACGACCGAAGAUGGAUCAAGGAGGACAUUCACAUUUGACACCAGAGACCAUCUUUGAACAGACCCACCUCCUUCCCAUUACCACCAUGACCUCCAGGAUGUCCAGAGACUUUCCAUCAACCACCUGCUGGCUGAACAGCACCAGUGUCUAGACUCCAUUUAUAUUCUUAUGAUAUUUAUCAUUACUUUUAUAAAUUUAAAUACUGCAGCUAAAGGAAGUAUAAACUGAGCCUUGACAAGACCUCACCUUUAACUCUGAGAUGUUGAG
Molecule: long non-coding RNA, 475 nt
Organism: Thunnus maccoyii (southern bluefin tuna)
Lineage: Eukaryota; Metazoa; Chordata; Actinopteri; Scombriformes; Scombridae
Exons: 3
Source: RefSeq, a predicted model, not a curated record